CAGGUUGGUCGGGUGGCUGCUGCUGCGCCUGACGCAGUAGAGGAAAGUCCGCGCUUCACAGAGCACACAGCCGGAUAACAUCCGGGACGGGGUAACCUGUCGGAUCGGGCCACAGAAACAAACCGCCUGCCUUGUGCAGGUAAGGGUGAAAUGGUGGUGUAAGAGACCACCGGAGACCGCAGCAAUGCGGCUGCCGGGUAACCCCCUGUGGAAGCAAGGUCAAGCAGGAACAAUAUCCUUCGGGAUGGGAGGCGGCUCGUCUUCCUUGAGUUCCGGGUAGGCUGCAAGAGCGUAUCGGUAACGGUACGACCAGAUAGAUAGUCACCCAGAUGGCGUUUCGCCAUCAGACAGAACGCGGCUUAUAGACCGACCUGGAUA
This 378-nucleotide RNase P RNA is filed under the name Anaerolineaceae bacterium. RNAcentral's name for it is "RNase P RNA component class A". It matches the Rfam family "Bacterial RNase P class A". From Rfam's summary of the family: Ribonuclease P (RNase P) is a ubiquitous endoribonuclease, found in archaea, bacteria and eukarya as well as chloroplasts and mitochondria. Its best characterised activity is the generation of mature 5'-ends of tRNAs by cleaving the 5'-leader elements of precursor-tRNAs. The record is from RNAcentral. Lineage: Bacteria; Bacillati; Chloroflexota; Anaerolineae; Anaerolineales; Anaerolineaceae.